CCUUCCUUGACGAAGGGGUAGGUCUUGAGGUUCUCCAGGGACAGGUUCACGGCCUCCUACAGAAACAUUCGGGAAGAAAUACAACGUGCAGUACGUGUUUUUUGUGAGCAAAAAAAAAAACGAAUCUAUAUAUUCGAUGAUCACGCAACAACUAACUAGCUACUCGUGCGUGUGGUGCACGUACGUACCUUCUCUAGAAUAGAGCACUGGUCAUCGAACGGCACCGAUGCGUGGUCUUUCUUCACCUUAAUCUUGGCAGGGAAGCCGAUCUUAACCCAGUUCUCAACGAAGUGGCUGCAGGGUACAAGUUUAAAUAGUAAUAUAUAUAGUGAGACCAGAAUUAUCAUGACACACGGAGCGCACAAGUUUCUUCUUCAUUUGUUUGUCUGGAUCUAAAUGAAACGUAUACAUAUUUCACUGUGAGUAGUGUGACGAGCGACGACUUACAAGUUGUCAGGUGCGCCGUCCUGGAGGGAGAGGAGCGCCCUGAUGCCACCGCAGCAGCUGUGGCCAAUGACCACGAGGACCUCCACCUUGAGCGCGCACACGGCGUACUCGAUGGCGGACCCGAUGCCGGUGUACUUGGUCUGCAGUCGACACGAAAACGAACUGUCAAUUAAUUAAUGUCCGCGCGCCCGAGCCAGGAAAAAAUAAAAAAAAACUAGAUACCUUGUCGUAGGCUGGGACCAUGGCGGCGAUGUUGCGGACGGUGAAGGCCUCGCCGGGCUGCAGGCCCAGGGUCACCGACGGGCACACGCGGGAGUCGGAGCAGGCGAACACCACGUACUGCAACAAUGCAGGCGGAGGGGAAAUCAGUCACCGUCAGGUCGGCGAAAAGAGGGAGGACUGGAGCACGCAAAACCAAGUUCGAUCGGUUUCCCAUGGCUCUUAUCGAUAAGCAGGUAGGCAGAUCAUCGGCCCCGAGCAUCUCAUCAGUGGAUCGGAGUGGAGGAUUUUUGGCUGUGGUGGGUUUAUUUGCACGCUCUGCCACCUAAAAAGCCGGCAACUCUUUUUGAGUUUUGACCCGCCUGUCUUUGUUCCAAUGCUCUUUUUUUACUAGUACGUACUACAGGGGCAGGAUGGAGAAAAUCCAGGCUGCAGGAAGGUUCCUCCGUGUUAUAGAUACUAGUACUAGUAGUUGCCACGAGGAUAAUCUACGCUGGGUUUCCGUGUUGCCAAGGAACAGGCGAACAGCACGCAAAGGAGUAUUUCUGGACAAGUUGGCACGCAAAUGCCGGAGAGGCGGAGAGGAUACAUUCAUACAUAUAUAUGCGUGAACGAAUGAACCGAGAACGACUAAUUUCAUGUGAGACCAUCUUCAGGAAUUUUUAAAAACUCGCAUCUAUUCUAGAUUUUUUGUUGUUGUAAGGUUUAAAAACUGCUUUGACUAUCAGUCAUUCCGCACAUGAGAAAAAAAAACAAUCUAAUAAUCGUGUGCAAAUCUGGCGCACAGAGACGAUCCGGAAUUAAUUCAGAGACGAAAGGCUGAAAAGGACGUGUGGGAGGUGAAAAGAAGUAGGAUAAAGCAACCGAUUGAGAUUGUAGACGAAAGGAAGAAACAAAGUGUACAAACGGUUGGAGCUAGCGAUCUAUCUAUAAAUAUUUUCAGGAUUUCUGAUACAAAAUAAUUGUCUUCUAGUAGUAUAUUUUAGGAGCGAGAUAUCACAGUGAGAGAGAGAUAUAUAUAUGGAUGCGAAUACAGAGUGUUCUCUCGACGAUGCUAAAAAGCAACGAGCCAAUAAUAGGCCCUGCCCAACAUUUACGCGCCUAGCUUUUGCAAGCAAGGGGACGAUCGAGAGGGAGAAGACGCGUCCAGACUAGUGCUGCCGGGCCAGCCCGGCCCAAGUCUAUCGUGCUUCGUGUCAAACGGGUUCGGGUCAGGAAAGCUCAAACAAUUUUUAGACCGUGCCGUGCCAGUCCGAAGUAUAAAAACAGUGGCCCAGCCCGGCCCUAAACCACGACGUGCCUUCGUUGGGUCGUGCCGGCCCAAGCCCAGCCCGUAUAUUUGACCACAUAAAAUCAAAAUAUUAUAACCAUAUAAAGUUCAUAGCUUACUAAAUUAAAUAUAUUAAACAAUUCUAACAUCAUAUAACCACAUAAACUCUAACUAUAACAACAAUAUAAAGUCGAUAUCUUACUAAAUUAAAGAAAUUAAACAGAUUGGACUUAAUUGGGCCGUGCCGGCCCAAGCCCGGCCUAUCUAUGCGGGCCGUGCCGGGGGCCCGACGGGUCGGAAUUUGAGGCCCGACUCAGGCUCGCCUUCGUGCCGUGCUAGCCCGGCCCAUAUUAUUUCGUGUCGGGUCGUGCUUUGGGCUCUUAUUUUCGGGCCGUGCUCGUGAUGGCCCGAAAAACCCGGCCCAGAUUCUCAGCACUAGUCCAGACCAUACUGACGACGAAAGGGUACCCGUGAGGCGAGCGACGGGGCAGUGCUUGGCAACCGCAGGACGACGACAGGACCGGUCGAUCGAUGGCUCAACGGUGGGGGGCCUCGGCCUGUGCUUAAUCAUGGCUGGACUGGACCUGGACCACGCACAUUAGCCUGUUCUAUCAUACUUAUUUAGGCAAAGGAGACUUGGGGCUCACGUCUCUUUAAUUUGUGCUGUGAGUGCCAAACAAAACAAAACGAAAAAAAUUCAAAAUGACGAGACAUCUGAAAUGGCUGGUCACCACCGGCCGUCUGUCGCUGGCGUUCAAACGCAAUGAUGGAAUGGAAGUGGCCAUAUAUAUGUUCAGCAAAAGAAUUCAACAGUUCUUUGUUUCCCACUGACCCAGUGCGCCCGAUCGAGCUAGAUUGCUUUUAUCUUCUCCUUUUUGCUGCAAAUAAUGUUUGACUAGUAUAGUAGUAUUUUUUUGCUAAAUGGCAUCAUUUGGAAUUAUGAUUAGUCUAAGCAUUACCGUCAAGGCAGAGGGGAGGACAAUGGUGUUCGAUGCCACAGCUUGAAGACAGGGACCCCAAAAAAAAAAGAGGGCAUUUUCCCAUCUAUCUCCUCGAAACUAAAAAUAAAUAAAUAAAAUAAGUACUAACGGUGUCUUUUGGUAAAUAACCACAAAUUUGGAAUGGUAUAUCCAGACUCCAGUAAACUUCGACGUUGGCACUAGCCAAUUCCACGUUUCUCCAUAGUUCUACAAAAAAAAAUACGGGGAGGAAAACUAGUAUUCCCUCCAAUCUCUCUUUAUUUGUUGUGUUCUAGUUCAAAAAAUGAGCUAACGGACGACAAAUAUUCGAGAAUGAGGUCGCGAAUGCAUUCAUAAAGUAAUUAGCAAUUAGGUGCACGGGAAGACUCCCAUAAAUUAAAGCAAUAAGCUCUGUCGGCACUUGCAAGAUUGUGUCACCAGAUUAUAUACUAGGAAACAGAAGGAAGAAUCAAUCGAUAUACUAAUAAUGCAUAACUAUAUCCUGUCAUCUGCAAAGUGAGCCUAUAUACAGGGAAGGGAAGAAGGCAGCAUCGUCUCAAUAGUUUACCGAACCAAACGCAAAUCAGCAGCGCAGCACAUGGGUGAGCAGAGCACCACCCGGGACCGGGAUAGUGCCCGCGGCACAGCGGGAGUUGUUAAGAGCAUCUCCAAAAGACUCUUUAUUUUUUACUCUCUAUUUGACUCUUUAUUUGUCACUUUAUAAAGAUUAAACUCUAAAUAUAACAUCUCAUUCUAACAGAUUCUCCAACAUGCAAGUUAGUCUGGCUAGCGAGAUUUGCUAGCCAAAUUUGGCUAGUGAGAGAGUCAAUUUAGAGAGCCGGAUAACUUGUCAAGUUAAAUGGCUAGCCUGUUGGAGAGCUAUUUUGCUAUUAAGUAGCUAAAAUUUAGGGGCUGUUUGGUUUGCUACCUAAGACGCCACAACGUGCCUAACUUUUCUGCCUAACCUUAGCUCUUCAAUUCGAGCGACUAAGGUUAGGCAGAUUGUGGCGCCUUAGGUAGGAAACCAAACAUGCCAUUAGCUUGACAAUUUAUUUAGCUAGUUUCUUGGAGAUGCUCUAAUAAAUGAUUUUUUUUUGCUCUCGAUGAUGCAUGCAUGUAUGUAUCCCACUUACUGUCAUUUCUUUGCAUAUCCAGCAGGCUACCAAUUGGCCGCAAGUGCCGACAAGCUGUCGCCGUCAGUUUUUUAAGCCGUGCAAGCAGGACAACCCGUUUCCUUUUCUCUACUCUACUGUAACUUUGACCUCGCUAACGGCGCAAAAGGCUGCGUGCUGCGCACCCAGCUGGGACACAGACACAGGGGUGGACGAUGAAUAGUGAGUGCAAUGCAAUGCUGCCUGGGAAGGACGCUGAUGAGCUACAGAGCUAGAGCAGCGACACGGUUUUCUCUGAGCACAGCCAGAGCUUGCCUCAACCUGGACAGGACAGCUGCUGGGCAACCGAAUCUGUCAUGUGGGGGCCAGUCUUGUCUCGGGCGUUACACAGAGUCCCACGGCCACGGAGAAUCCGAAAAACCGGGACGCGGUUUCGCCUUAUUAACCGUCCGGGAUCUAUGCUGGGCAUGGCAUCACGGGAGCUACGAGUAUGUACGACAGAGUAACCGGCCAGCCGGAGCCGCUAGAGCCAAAAAAAAAAAAAAAACACUUGGCGGCGUACAAGGGAGCUAGCGACUAGAAGAGAAGGCAGCACGCAUGGUAGACUGGUAGUAUAGGCUAGUAGCACAUACCUUGGGGGCCUGGCCGGCCUUGAGAGGCUCGAACAGCUCCGGCUUCUUGCUGCGAGAAAAGGCCAACGGGGCACUCAGAAUUCCAGAAAGAAAGCAAGCGCCAUGGGAUCGAAACCAGCAGCUAGCUCUGGGUACAGAGAGGAGGGGGACUGACUUACUCAUAGACCUCGGUCUUGAACUUGUGGAACCCGUCCUUCAAGCGCUCGACGGGGUCGUCCAUGGCCCCUCCCCUGCCUGCAACAUCAACAGCCACAGAGACACCGUCGGCCGGUCAGCUCGCCGUCUCCAGAAAGACGACCAACCUGCUCGCUCGUGAUUGCGAUACAGGCAGCAUGAUAGAGAGAGAGAGAGGGCGAGGGGCAUGAUGCAGUUUUUGGCCUCCUCGCCCACGGACCACAGGGAAAAGCAUGCACAAAGGUGAUCUAAAAGCGGGAACAGGGAUCUUCUUUGCACCAGCACAGUACAGCGCAGCGAGAAGGUGGGAGAGCUGCAGGCUACUACUGAACUGAUGGCAACAGAGGAAAAAAGGAAACGGAGGGAUGGACGGAGAUUGCAGUGUGUGCAGGAUGGUACAGGGGCCGAGGGAGGGGGGGAGGAGGGGACGGACCUUGGAAGGUGGGUGGCCUUCUGGUUCUCAGGGAGGGACGGACAAGGUGGAUGAAUUGGACGCCUUCGGUGACCCCCGCUCCGAUCCUUUUUAUAACGACACGCGGGAGGCAAAGGCAGCUGCUCACCUUCUCCUCUUUUCUUCCACUCCUCUCUUAUCUCCGGACGGAUGUAUGUAUGCGAUGCGGCCCUCUCACUCUCUCUCUCUCUCUCUCUCUCUCUCUCUCUCUCGUGGUACAGUUUACUAGCAACAAGACGCGUGUAAUCGUGCCAGCGAGAGAAAGAGACACCGUCAGUAACGCCUGAGAGCGGCCUUUGUGGACAAGGUAUUUCCAACAAAUGGCGCUCGCUUCCUCUGAGUCCGACACCGAUCGAUCGAGGUGGGAGAUACAAGUGAAAUUUUGCACCGGGUGAGUUGGAACCGUCCGGACACGGUCUAAAGCUAAGAGUACGAAGUGAAAUUGAUUGAAUUAUAUAUGCCAGUCCGUUAUGAACGUUGGGCUGAGCCAUAACUUUUGGUCCAGCGUACCAUAUGGCACGGCGGCACUGAGUGUCUGUUUGUGCUUGAGCCGACACGAUAUGUAAAUGGCUCGCAUGUGAGGUAGCUUGCUCGAGAUGGUGUGCAAGGGAGGAACUUCUUUUUAGGUUGUAACCAACAGACAGUGCAUAUGGUCGUGACCAAUAAACUGUGCAUAUUGUCAUAUACAAAUAAAAGCCACCCGCAAGAUAGAAGAAUAUAACAGAGAUAUCACAUUUGAGAUGUUUGGGGGCCUACCUUGCCAAAGGUCAUUAAAAUACCUUUACUUCGGCAUAAGAAAAUAAUAAGAAGUGGUGUGUAGGGAAGCUUCGUUCUAUACAUACAAGCGGCGAAGGUGCGAGCCGAAGCCGUUAGCUUCGGCGUGGAGAAAACUUCGGGCACAAAGUGGUGAAGGAGAACAAGUCCAAGACUUGAGCAGCAAGAAAUAAAGAGAAAAGGCUGUUAUGUCCCUGUUUUAUUUGUAAAUCAUAUGUGUAAACUUUAUGGGCAUAUUUGUAAUUUCUUACGAAUCUGUUCAUCUUCCCUAUAAAUAGUUGAAUAGUGCCCUACAUACAAUUCACCUCUCGAGGGCCUUAGCUUCGUCUUGCAUAGCCUUUGAAGUGUCUUCGACCUAUCUUGUGAAAAGAAUCUGAAUAUAUGUUUGUAAAUUUGUUUGAUACCAAGGAAGAUGGAAUAAAAAAAUGCUAAGGCAUACGAGAUAAGUUUUUCAUGUUGCUUUUAUCAUCUUUCCAUUUAAACAUUGUUCUAUACACAUCCCUCUUCAUGCCUUUGUCCUUAAGUUAUCCCUUCGGAGAAGUGGUAAUUUAAGGACCAAGGUUCGGACUUAACUUGUGUUGCCUUGUUUUUUAUGCCAUUUAGUAAUUGAAAACAAGUGACCAACAUUGGCACCCAUCUCCGGUGAUUCCGCGACCACAACAACCUGAACCACAACAAAGGGGAUCACAAACCGUCAAGCUUCGUCGUUAUCCUUGGAGAAGCUUGUGCUCCCCAUUACUAGAGGCUCGAGCUUCGAACCCACCAAUAAGAAACGAAAGAAAGAGGCCCAAAGAAGGGUGCAACAUGUAGGUGUCCAAGGACCAAGUGGUCCCAUAUUCCUAUCACCUUUUCUCAAGACGAUCUUUGUCUCAAAGAUUAUCCACAUAGAGAUUCCAUGUUUAUAUCAUGUGUCAUAAAAGGCUUCGUGGUGCACGGUGUCAUGGUUGACACAGGUAGCGCAACAGAUAUCAUAUUUGCCAAAGCCUUCAUGCAAAUGCAAGAGCCCGAAGAUAAGAUUCAGGAUUCAGCUUUUCCCCUCUAUGGCUUCAGGGGGCAGCAAGUGAUGGCACUAGGAAAGUUGUCUAUGCCCAUUACCUUCGGCUAUGUGAAAGGGAAAUGUGCCCUUGGGCCAUUUCUAAGUAUUUUGGUGAUUGAGUGCCAACACACGUGGACUCAGGUUAAUCUAUGGAUAAAGUGCAAAUCAAGUAAAAAGGUAUGUUUCUAAGACUUACUACAUUGUUUUGGAGACUAAUGUAUUGUGUCUAAGUGCUGGAAACAUGAGAAAUCAAGUUGGAAAAGGGAUGACUCUGUUCAGCCAAAGACAGCUCGGUCUGGGUGCACCGGACUGUCCGGUGGUGCACCGGACUGUGUCCGGUGCGCCAGGCCUGUGACUGUCAACUGGCUGCUCUCGGGAAGCAAUUAACGGCGUACGGCUAUAAAUCACCGGACUGUCCGGUGAGCCAACAGUCAGCCGGGCCAACGGUCGGCCGCGGAAUCCGCGCGCGACGCGUGGCAGAGCCAACGGUUAGAAGGGGGCACCGGACUGUCCGGUGCGCCAACGGCUAGGAAUCUGCAACGGUCGGCUUCGCCAAAUAAGGAAAGAGAUCCGCACUGGACAGUGUCCGGUGGUGCACCGGACUGUCCGGUGCGCCAGGCGACAGAAGGCAAGAAUUGCCUUCUUGAAAUGCUCUCAACGGCUCCUAGCUGCCUUGGGGCUAUAAAAGGGACCCCUAGGCGCAUGGAGGAGAAGAUCAAGCAUUCCUUGAGCAUUGUUGAUCACUCACACUUCAUUCUUGCGCACUUGUUCGACAUUCUUAGUGAUUUGAGCUUCGUUCUAGUGAGAACCUCGAGAUAUUGUCUUGAGCUCAAGUCUUGAUCUUGUGUGUGCGUAUUUGCUGUGGAUUUGAGUGUGUUGCUUCCCUCCCUUACUCUUGUGCUUCAUAUUGAUUCUUAUUGUAAGGGCAAGAGACUCCAAGUUGUGGAGAUUCCUCGCAAACGGGAAAAGAGCAAAGUAAAGAAGAACACCGUGGUAUUCAAGUUGAUCUUUGGAUCACUUGAGAGGAGUUGAGUGCAACUCUCGUCCGUUGGGACGCCACAACGUGGAGUAGGCAAGUUUUGUACUUGGCCGAACCACGGGAUAAAUCCUCGUGUCUCUUGUGCUUGUCCUUAUUGUGUCUAUUGUGCUUCACAAGAGUUCUCCUCUCUACUCACUUGAUUUCAUUAUACUAACUCUUAAUCAAGUUUAUGGUGUUAAGUUUUAAGUUUUACAGGAUCGCCUAUUCACCCCCACCUCUAGGUGCUCUCAAUUGGUAUCAGAGUCGUUCUCUUCAAGAAAGGGACUAAUCGCCCGAAGAGAUGGAUCCUAGGGGCAAGGGGAUGAUGGUCAAUGAUAAGGAGAAGGAGUCCUUCGUCAAUGAUCCAAAAGAUGACAAGCCUACUGACUCGGGCUCAAGCCACAAAAGAAAAGACGGGAAGAAGAAGAAAACAAGGCGCAUCAAGGAGAUCGUCUACUACGACGACAGCGACGAGUCCUCUUCUUCCCAAAAGGACGACGACAACUACGAGAAAAAGAAAACGGUCAAUUCAAACUUUUCUUUUGAUUAUUCUAGAAUUCCACAAAAUACAAAUGCUCAUUUACUUUCCAUUCCACUUGGUAAACCUCCUCACUUUGAUGGAGAGGACUACGGAUUUUGGAGUCACAAAAUGCGUUGUCACUUGUUCUCUCUUCAUCCAAGCAUAUGGGAGAUAGUAGAGAGUGGAAUGCAAUUUGAUAGUACUGAUAGUCCCACAUUUAUCAAUGAGCAAAUUCACAAAAAUGCACAAGCUACUACUGUUCUUCUAGCAUCUUUAUGCAGGGAUGAAUACCAUAAGGUGAGCGGCUUGGACAACGCCAAGAAAAUUUGGGACACCCUCAAGAUCUCUCAUGAGGGAAAUGACGUCACCAUGCUCACCAAGAUGGAGUUAUUGGAGGGCGAACUUGGGAGAUUCGCAAUGAUUAGGGGCGAGGAGCCAACCCAAACGUACAAUCGGCUCAAGACCCUCGUCAACAAAAUAAGGAGCUAUGGAAGCACGCGAUGGACGGACCACGACGUCGUUCGCCUAAUGCUAAGGUCUUUUACUGUCCUUGAUCCGCAUCUUGUGAACAAUAUUCGUGAAAAUCCUAGGUACACCAAGAUGACUCCCGAGGAGAUACUUGGAAAGUUCGUGAGCGGGCGGAUGAUGAUCAAGGAGGGUAGAUACGUUGAUGAUGCUUUGAAUGGUCCAAUCCACGAGCCUCAAACCGUUGCUCUCAAAGCAACGAGGAGCAAGGAGGCGCUACCUAGCAAGGUGGCACAAGUUGAGGCGGCGGGACUCAAUGAGGAAGAGAUGGCCCUCAUCAUCAAGCGCUUCAAGACGGCGCUAAGGGGUCGCAAGGAGCAUCCCAACAAGACCAAGACAAAGGGGAAGCGAUCAUGCUUCAAAUGUGGUAAGAUUGGUCAUUUUAUCGCUAAUUGUCUUGAUAAUGAUAGUGACCAGGAACAAGGGAACAAGAGGGAAAAGAAGAAGGCUUACAAGAAAGCUAAGGGCGAGGCACACCUUGGAAAGGAGUGGGACUCGGAUUGUUCGUCGUCCGACUCCGACAACGAAGGACUCGCCGCCAUCGCCUUCAACAAAGCGUCCCUCUUCCCCAAUGAGCAUCACACCUGCCUCAUGGCAAAGGAGAAGAAGGUAAACUCUCGAAAAUCCACUUAUGCUUCUUCUAGUGAGGAUGAGUCUAGUGAUGAUGAUGAAAUAGACUAUGCUAGUUUAUUCAAGGGACUAGAUAGAACUAAGAUUGAUAAAAUAAAUGAAUUGAUUGAUGCUUUGAAUGAUAAGAAUAGAUUGUUAGAAAAGCAAGAGGAUCUCUUAUAUGAUGAGCAUGAUAAGUUUGUAGAGGCACAAAACUCCCUUGUGUUAGAAAUUAAAAGAAAUGAAAUGCUCUCUUGUGAAUUGUCUACAUGCCAUGACUCUAUUUCUAUCUUAAAGAGCAUAAAUGAUGAUUUGAAUGCUAAGUUAGAAAUAGCCAAUAAAUCAACAUCUUGUGUAGAACAUGUUGCAAUUUGCAAUAGGUGUAAAGAUUUUAAUAUUGAUGCUUGUAGUGAACACCUAGUUUCAAUUUCUAAAUUGAAUGAUGAAGUGGCUAGUCUUAAUGCCCAACUUAAGACUAGCAAAAAUGAUUUUGAUAAACUAAAAUUUGCAAGGGAUGCCUACACGGUUGGUAGACACCCCUCAAUUAAGGAUGGUCUUGGCUUCAAGAGGGAAGUCAAGAACUUAACAAGCCAUAAGGCUUCCAUCUCCAUCAAGGAGAAAGGGAAGGCUCCUAUGGCAAAUAGUAUUCAAAAGAACCAUGCCUUCUUAUACCAUGAUAGGAGAUAUUCUAGGAAUGUUCAUCACGAUAGGAGUUGCAAUGAUGUUGUUUCACAUGCUUAUGAUUCAAAUGCAAUGUUUGCUUCUAGUUCUUCUAUGCAUCAUAGAAAUUUGGCUAGGAAAACGCUAUGCCUAGAAGAAAUAUUGUUCAUGUUCCUAGGAAAGUAAUGAAUGAACCUUCUACAAUUUAUUAUGCUUGCAAUGCUUCCUUUGCUAUUUGUAGAAAGGAUAAGAAGGUAAUUGCUAGGAAAUUAGGGGCCAAAUGUAAGGGAGACAAGACUUGCAUUUGGGUCCCUAAGACUAUUGUAACUAACCUUGUAGGACCCAACAUGAGUUGGGUACCUAAGACCCAAGCCUAAAUUUGCCUUGCAGGUUUAUGCAUCCGGGGGCUCAAGCUGGAUUAUCGACAGCGGAUGCACAAACCACAUGACAGGGGAAAAGAGGAUGUUCUCUUCCUACGUCAAGAACAAGGAUCCCCAAGAUUCAAUCAUAUUCGGUGAUGGGAACCAAGGCAAGGUGAAAGGGUUAGGAAAAAUUGCUAUUUCAUCCGAGCACUCUAUUUCGAAUGUGUUCUUAGUUGAGUCGCUUGGAUAUAACUUGUUGUCUGUGAGUCAACUGUGUAAUAUGGGAUAUAACUGUUUAUUCACAAAUGUAGAUGUGUCUGUCUUUAGAAGAAGUGACGGUUCAUUAGCUUUUAAGGGUGUACUAGACGACAAACUUUAUUUAGUUGAUUUUGCAAAAGAGGAGGCUGGUCUAGAUGCAUGCUUAAUUGCUAAGACUAGCAUGGGCUAGCUGUGGCAUCGCCGUUUGGCACAUGUGGGGAUGAAGAACCUUCACAAGCUUCUAAAGGGAGAACACGUGAUAGGUCUAACUAAUGUAACUUUCAAAAAAGAUAGACCUUGUGCAGCUUGUCAAGCAGGUAAACAGGUGGGAAGCUCUCAUCAUGCCAAAAAUGUGAUGACAACAUCAAGACCCCUGGAGUUACUUCAUAUGGACCUCUUCGGACCUGUCGCCUAUCUAAGUAUAGGAGGAAGUAAGUAUGGUCUUGUUAUAGUUGAUGAUUUUUCCCGCUUCACUUGGGUAUUCUUUUUGCAGGAUAAAUCUGAAACCCAAGGGACCCUCAAGCGCUUCCUAAGGAGAGCUCAAAAUGAUUUUGAGCUCAAGGUGAAGAAGAUAAGAAGCGACAAUGGGUCCGAGUUCAAGAACCUUCAAGUGGAGGAGUAUCUUGAGGAGGAAGGAAUCAAGCACGAGUUUUCCGCUCCCUACACACCACAGCAAAAUGGUGUGGUAGAGAGGAAGAACAGGACGCUACUAGACAUGACAAGGACGAUGCUUGGUGAAUUCAAGACGCCCGAACGGUUUUGGACAGAAGCCGUGAGCACGGCUUGCCACGCCAUAAACCGGGUCUAUCUUCAUCGCCUCCUCAAGAAGACUUCAUAUGAGCUACUAACCGGUAACAAACCCAAUGUAUCAUACUUUCGUGUAUUUGGGAGCAAAUGUUAUAUUCUAGUGAAGAAAAGUAGAAAUUCUAAGUUUGCUCCCAAAGCUGUAGAAGGGUUUUUGUUAGGUUAUGACUCAAAUACAAAGGAGUAUAGGGUCUUCAACAAAUCAUCGGGUUGGGUUGAAGUCUCUAGCGACGUUGUAUUUGAUGAGACUAAUGGCUCUCCAAGAGAGCAAGUUGUUGAUCUUGAUGAUGUAGAUGAAGAAGACAUUCCAACGGCCGCAAUGCGCACCAUGGCGAUUGGAGAUGUGAGGCCACUGGAACAAAAGGAGCAAGAUCAACCUUCUUCCUCAACAAUGGUGCAUCCCCCAAUUCAAGACGAUGAACAGGUUCAUCAAGAAGAGGCGUGUGAUCAAGGGGGAGCACAAGAUGUUCAUGUGAUAGAGGAAGAAGCGCAACCGGCACCUCCAACCCAAGUUCGAGCGACGAUUCAAAGGAAUCAUCCUGUCGACCAAAUAUUGGGUGACAUAAGCAAGGGAGUAACUACUCGUUCAAGAUUGGUUAAUUUUUGUGAGCAUUACUCCUUUGUCUCUUCUAUUGAGCCUUUCAGAGUAGAAGAGGCCUUGCUAGAUCCGGACUGGGUGUUGGCCAUGCAAGAGGAGCUCAACAACUUUAAGAGAAAUGAAGUUUGGACAUUGGUGCCUCGUCCCAAGCAAAAUGUUGUGGGAACCAAGUGGGUGUUCCGCAACAAACAAGACGAGCACAGAGUGGUGACAAGGAACAAGGCACGACUUGUGGCAAAAGGUUAUGCCCAAGUCGCAGGUUUGGACUUUGAGGAGACUUUUGCUCCUGUGGCUAGGCUAGAGUCAAUUCGCAUAUUGUUAGCCUAUGCUACUCACCAUUCUUUCAGGUUGUUCCAAAUGGAUGUGAAGAGCGCUUUCCUCAACGGGCCAAUCAAGGAGGAGGUGUACGUGGAGCAACCCCCUGGCUUCGAGGAUGAACGGUACCCCGACCACGUAUGUAAGCUUUCUAAGGCGCUCUAUGGACUUAAGCAAGCCCCAAGAGCAUGGUAUGAAUGCCUUAGAGACUUUUUAAUUACUAAUGAUUUCAAGGUUGGGAAAGCUGAUCCAACUCUUUUUACUAAGACUUGUGAUGGUGAUCUUUUUGUGUGCCAAAUUUAUGUCGAUGACAUAAUAUUUGGUUCUACUAACCAAAAGUCUUGUGAAGAGUUUAGCAGGGUGAUGACUCAAAAGUUUGAGAUGUCGAUGAUGGGCGAGUUAAGUUAUUUCCUUGGGAUCCAAGUGAAGCAACUCAAGGAUGGAACCUUCAUCUCCCAAACGAAGUACACGCAAGACUUGAUCAAGCGGUUUGGGAUGAAGGACGCCAAGCCCGCAUAGACCCCAAUGGGAACCGACGGACACACCGACCUCAACAAAGGAGGUAAGUCCGUUGAUCAAAAGGCAUACCGGUCUAUGAUAGGGUCUUUACUUUAUUUAUGUGCUAGUAGACCGGAUAUUAUGCUUAGCGUUUGCAUGUGUGCUAGAUUUCAAUCUGAUCCAAGGGAGUGUCACUUAGUGGUGUGAAGCGAAUUCUUAGAUAUUUAGUCGCUACGCCUUGCUUCAGGAUCUGGUAUCCAAAGGGGUCUACCUUUGAAUUGAUUGGAUAUUCAGACUCCAACUAUGCUGGAUAUAAGGUCGAUAGGAAGAGUACAUCAGGGACGUGCCAAUUCUUAGGAAGGUACAUGAUGUCGUGGAGUUCUAAGAAACAAACUUUCGUUGCCCUAUCCACCGCUGAGGCCGAGUAUGUUGCCGCAGGACAGUGUUGCGCGCAACUACUUUGGAUGAGGCAAACCCUCAGGGACUUUGGCUACAAUAUGAGCAAAGUCCGACUCCUAUGUGAUAAUGAGAGUGCUAUCCGCAUGGCGGACAAUCCUGUUGAACACAGCCGCACAAAGCACAUUGACAUCCAGCAUCACUUUUUGAGAGACCACCAGCAAAAGGGGGAUAUCGAAGUGUUUCAUGUUAGCACCGAAAACCAGCUAGCCGAUAUCUUUACCAAUCCUCUAGAUAUCGGCUAAGACUUCGAUAUCAGGUAAAGAUAUCGGCUAGCUGGUUCUCGGAGCUAACAUGGAACACUUCGAUAUCUCCCUUUUGCUGGUGGUCUCUCAAAAAGUGAUGCCGAAUGUCAAUGUGCUUUGUGCGGCUGUGCUCAACAGGAUUUUCCGCCAUGCGGAUAGCACUCUCAUUAUCUCAUAGGAGUGGGACUUUGCUCAGAUUGUAGCCAAAGUACUUGAGGGUGUGCCUCAUCCAAAGUAGUUGUGCGCAACACUGUCCUGCGGCAACGUACUCGGCCUCAGCGGUGGAUAGGGCAACGGAAGUUUGUUUCUUAGAUUUCCAUGACACCAAGGACCUUCCUAAGAAUUGGCACGUCCCCGAUGUACUCUUCCUAUCGACCUUACAUCCAGCAUAGUCGGAAUCUGAAUAUCCAAUCAAGUCAAAGGUAGACCCCUUUGGAUACCAGAGCCCGAAGCAAGGCGUAGCAACUAAAUAUCUAAGGAUUCGCUUCACUGCCACUAAGUGACACUCCUUAGGAUCGGAUUGAAAUCUAGCACACAUGCAUACGCUAAGCAUAAUAUCCGGUCUACUAGCACAUAAGUAAAGUAAUGACCCUAUCAUUGACCGGUAUGCCUUUUGAUCAACGGACUUACCUCCUUUGUUGAGGUCGGUGUGUCCGUCGGUCCCCAUCGGAGUCUUUGCGGGCUUGGCGUCCUUCAUCCCAAACCGCUUCAGCAGGUCUUGCGUGUACUUCGUUUGAGAGAUGAAGGUGCCGUCCUUGAGUUGCUUCACUUGGAACCCAAGGAAGUAGUUCAACUCGCCCAUCAUUGACAUCUCGAAUUUCUGCGUCAUCACCCUGCUAAACUCUUCACAAGACUUUUUAUUAGUAGAACCAAAUAUUAUGUCAUCGACAUAAAUUUGGCACACAAACAAAUCACCAUCACAUGUCUUAGUGAAAAGAGUUGGAUCGGCUUUCCCAACCUUGAAAGCAUUAGCAAUUAAGAAAUCUCUAAGGCAUUCAUACCAUGCUCUUGGGGCUUGCUUAAGUCCAUAGAGCGCCUUAGAGAGCUUACAUACGUGGUUGGGGUACCGUUCAUCCUCGAAGCCAGGGGGUUGCUCCACGUACACCUCCUCCUUGAUUGGCCCGUUGAGGAAAGCGCUUUUCACAUCCAUUUGGAACAACCUGAAAGAAUGGUGAGCGGCAUAUGCUAGCAAGAUACGAAUUGAUUCUAGCCUAGCCACAGGAGCAAACGUCUCCUCAAAGUCCAAACCUGCGACUUGGGCAUAACCUUUUGCCACAAGUCGAGCCUUGUUCCUCGUCACCACUCUGUGCUCGUCUUGUUUGUUGCGGAACACCCACUUGGUUCCCACAACAUUUUGCUUGGGACGAGGCACCAAUGUCCAAACUUCAUUUCUCUUAAAGUUGCUAAUGAUUUAAAGGUUGGGAAAGCUGAUCCAACUCUUUUUACUAAGACUUGUGAUGGUGAUCUUUUUGUGUGCCAAAUUUAUGUCGAUGACAUAAUAUUUGGUUCUACUAACCAAAAGUCUUGUGAAGAGUUUAGCAGGGUGAUGACUCAAAAGUUUGAGAUGUCGAUGAUGGGCGAGUUAAGUUAUUUCCUUGGGAUCCAAGUGAAGCAACUCAAGGAUGGAACCUUCAUCUCCCAAACGAAGUACAUGCAAGACUUGAUCAAGCGGUUUGGGAUGAAGGACGCCAAGCCCGCAUAGACCCCAAUGGGAACCGACGGACACACCGACCUCAACAAAGGAGGUAAGUCCGUUGAUCAAAAGGCAUACCGGUCUAUGAUAGGGUCUUUACUUUAUUUAUGUGCUAGUAGACCGGAUAUUAUGCUUAGCGUUUGCAUGUGUGCUAGAUUUCAAUUUGAUCCAAGGGAGUGUCACUUAGUGGCUGUGAAGCGAAUUCUUAGAUAUUUAGUCGCUACACCUUGCUUCAGGAUCUGGUAUCCAAAGGGGUCUACCUUUGACUUGAUUGGAUAUUCAGACUCCAACUAUGCUGGAUGUAAGGUCGAUAGGAAGAGUACAUCAGGGACGUGCCAAUUCUUAGGAAGGUACAUGAUGUCGUGGAGUUCUAAGAAACAAACUUUCGUUGCCCUAUCCACCGCUGAGGCCGAGUAUGUUGCCGCAGGACAGUGUUGCGCGCAACUACUUUGGAUGAGGCAAACCCUCAGGGACUUUGGCUACAAUAUGAGCAAAGUCCGACUCCUAUGUGAUAAUGAGAGUGCUAUCCGCAUGGCGGACAAUCCUGUUGAACACAGCCGCACAAAGCACAUUGACAUCCGGCAUCACUUUUUGAGAGACCACCAGCAAAAGGGGGAUAUCAAAGUGUUUCAUGUUAGCACCGAAAACCAGCUAGCUGAUAUCUUUACCAAGCCUCUAGAUGAGUCGACCUUUUGCAAGCUGCGUAGUGAGCUAAAUUUCUUAGAUUCGCGGAACUUGGAUUGAUUUAUAGCAUACAUGUGUUUUAUGCCUUGAUCAUGUUACUUAAUGCAUUUUGUUGCCUAUUUAUGGUGCUCAAGUUGUACAAGCACUCCCCGGACCUCACAAGUCCAUUUGCAAGUGAUGCACAUAUUUAGGGGGAGAUGUGCUACAACUUGACCCUUUGAGACUAACUAUGUGCUUGAGUUUACUUAAUUUAGUCUCAAAGGAGGUUUGAAAGGGAAAAUGUGGACUUGGACCAUGCAAGACUUCCACUGCACUCCGAUGAAAGAGUAACUAAUUCCAUGUUCAUCUAUGUAAUCUUAUUGCCUUUUUACUCUUAGUUGAUGAUUUUGGUGAGGCAAUGGGGUUAAAGGGUCAAAAUUGAUCUCGUUUUGGUGCUUGAUGCCAAAGGGGGAGAAAAUAAGGCCAAAGCAAGAAAUGGAUCAGGCUACCACUUGAGGAUUUUGAAGCCACUUGAGGAUUUUGAAAAAAGUAGAGUUAGAGUUUUUGUUUGUCAAAAAUUUUAAUUGUCUCUUUUGUCUAAAGUUGGUCUCUUGUGGGGAGAAGGCUUGAUUAUGGGAAAAAGGGGGAGUUUUUGAAUCUUUGAUCAAUUUCUCUUGAAAUAUCUCUCUUUAUGUUUCAACAAGUGUGUUUUACUUAGAGAUAGGAAAUUGAGUUUGAUUUGCAAAAACAAACCAAGUGGUGGCAAAGAAUGAUCCAUAUAUGCCAAAUUUGAAUCAAAACAAAUUUGAGUUCUCAUUUGUAUUGAUGUUGCACUUCCUUUAGUUGCUUUUUAUUGUGUUGGCAUAAAUCACCAAAAAGGGGGAGAUUGAAAGGGAAAUGUGCCCUUGGGCCAUUUCUAAGUAUUUUGGUGAUUGAGUGCCAACACACGUGGACUCAGGUUAAUCUAUGGAUAUAGUGCAAAUCAAGUAAAAAGGUAUGUUUCUAAGACUUAGUACAUUGUUUUGGAGACUAAUGUAUUGUGUCUAAGUGCUGGAAACAUGAGAAAUCAAGUUGGAAAAGAGAUGGCUCUGUUCAGCCAAAGACAACUCGGUCUGGGUGCACCAGACUGUCCGGUGGUGCUCCGGAUAGUGUCCGGUGGUGCACCGGACAGUGUCCGGUGCGCCAGGCCUGUGACCGUCAACUGGCUGCUCUCGGGAAGCAAUUAACGGCGUACGGCUAUAAAUCACCGGACUGUCCGGUGGUGCACCGGACUGUCCGGUGAGCCAACAGUCAGCCGGGCCAACAGUCGGCCGCGGAAUCCGCGCGCGACGCGAGGCAGAGCCAACGGUCAGAAGGGGGCAUCAGACUGUCCGGUGUGCACCGGACAGUGUCCGGUGCGCCAACGGCUAGGAAUCUGCAACGGUCGGCUUCGCCAAAUAAGGAAAGAGAUCCGCACCGGACAGUGUGUGGUGGUGCACCAGACUGUGCGGUGCGCCAGGCGACAGAAGGCAAGAAUUGCCUUCUUGAAAUGCUCUCAACGGCUCCUAGCUGCCUUGGGGCUAUAAAAGGGAACCCUAGGCGCAUGGAGGAGAAGACCAAGCAUUCCUUGAGCAUUGUUGAUCACUCACACUUCAUUCUUGCGCACUUGUUCGACAUUCUUAGUGAUUUGAGCUUCGUUCUAGUGAGAACCUCGAGAUAUUGUCUUGAGCUCAAGUCUUGAUCUUGUGUGUGCAUAUUUGUUGUGGAUUUGAGUGUGUUGCUUCCCUCCCUUACUCUUGUGCUUCAUAUUGAUUCUUAUUGUAAGGGCGAGAGACUCCAAGUGUUGGAGAUUCCUCGCAAACGGGAAAAGAGCAAAGUAAAGAAGAACACCGUGGUAUUCAAGUUGAUCUUUGGAUCACUUGAGAGGAGUUGAGUGCAACUCUCGUCCGUUGGGACGCCACAACGUGGAGUAGGCAAGUUUUGUACUUGGCCGAACCACGGGAUAAAUCCUCGUGUCUCUUGUGCUUGUCCUUAUUGUGUCUAUUGUGCUUCACAAGAGUUCUCCUCUCUACUCACUUGAUUUCAUUAUACUAACUCUUAAUCAAGUUUGUGGUGUUAAGUUUUAAGUUUUACAGGAUCACCUAUUCACCCCCCUCUAGGUGCUCUCACUAUGUCAACAAUACAAGAACAUAGGAGGUCAUGUUUAAAGUAGUUGAUAUGGAUUUCUCAUACAAUGCAAUCAUUGGGUGGAGGACUCUCAACGUAUUCGAAGCAGUUUUGCAUUCAACUUACCUCUGCAUGAAGAUAACUAGCAACAAAGAGGUCAUAUCAGUUCAUGGUAGCCAAGAAGCAGCAAGAAGGGCAGAAGGGACCCUACAAGAACCUAAGAUUGUCUAUAACAUAGAUGAAGAUGAAGCACAGUCUCAGUAAUCUUAGAAGCAAGCAAAAGAGAAAGCAUCUUUGGUGGAUCAACUGAAGUCAAUGCUCCUCUGUGAAGAUGUUGUAGACCAAAGGGUUUUCUAUGACAAUCAGCUAACUUCGGAGUAGGAAUCCAAUCUUAGAAGGUUUGUUUUUCACAGCAAGGAUCUCUUUGCUUGGUUAGCAAAUGACUUGUGUGGAGUUGAUAGAAGCAUAAUAGAGCAUGUUGCCAUGCUCUAGAUGUUGACCCAAGAACUAGGCCAUGAAAGCAGAAUCUUCACAAGAUGUCUAAGGACAAGACUGAAGGUGCAAAGGCCAAAUUUAAAAGAUUGUUUAGUGCCGGAGUCAUAAGAGAAGUUGCAUAUCUAGAGUGGUUGGCCAACACAGUCAUGGUCAAGAAAUCCAAUAGCAAGUGGAGGAUGUGUAUCGACUUCCUAGACCUCAACAAAGCAUGCCUGAAGGAUGGAUUCCCACUGCCAAGAAUUGAUUCUCUAGUGGAUGCAGCUGCCACUUUGGAGCUCAUGAGUUUGCUGGAUUACUAUUUAGGGUACCAUCAAAUCUUAAUGAAGAAGGAAGAUGAGCCAAAGACUAGCUUUAUAACCCCUAACAGUACUUACUCCUCCCCGGCUUUACCAUGUAGAGCGAGGGGUGGACCGAGCAAGCUUCUCGUAGGCCGCAAGCUAGGUGACCGGCACAUAGUUCAUUUGCUCGUAUCCACGUCCAAGGUUGUACCUCACAUUCCCUUAUGGUAACCCGGCUAAGGGGGUGGCCACGAGGCCUCUCUUUGGUUGGCCAGAUCGACGAAAGAGCCGACACAUGGUUGAAUUAGGAAGGACUCAAUGAGAUGCCCCCAACGGGUCGAGCCCCCAGUCGGACCACUCGCCAAGACUUAACCCUACAGGAGGGAGGUCGGAUCUCACUUGGAUAACUCGUUUGUAGCUCGACGACCUCCUUAUCCACGCCGACUAGGUCGAUGGAGGGAGGCCCUCUCUUAAAAAAGACCAUAGAAGGCCUUCCAAGGGAGGACACAUGUAUGCCAAGGACCAAACACUUAGAAGGCGACCAACUUAGAAGAGCACCCACUAGGACUAUGCUCGUGUCAAGUACUAAAUUGACUCACACUGAGAGUGUGAUGACCAUUGCAGGAAGGGUCCGCCCCUAAAUCGCGCACACACCAAAUAAACCCUCAAGCAAUCAACAUGGAUUACUCGAGGGCUACAUCUAACAGAUGCGCUUGUGCGACCAGAUAAGCGUAAGAUCUCAAGCUAAAGCCUCUGCACAACUCCAAGAGUUACACGAAGGCUCGGGGGCUGUUGUCGGGUACCUAAGAAUAUGGUACCCAAAGUAGCCCAUGACCUCUUUCCAGCCCAUUUGCUGAGCAAAUCCGCAUCGGGAGCCGGCUUCUAGGUCCUGUGCCGAGCAAGCCUGCGAGGCAGAGCCACCGACUAAGCCCCGUCGAGCAAGUCUGCGAAGUGGAGCGAUCGAUCAAGUCCCCGCCGAGCAAACCAGUAGGACGGAGCUCCCAGUCCUAUAUGCUACUGGUCCAUGUCAGCUACGACAGGACGCAUCAUCACCAAGCAAUGUCCGGACAUAUGAGCAGCAUACCAAAGGGGCACUAGGGGGUCACUGUCAACAUGAUUGUACGUCCCUACGAAAGGUCUCAGGCGUAUCCCCACUACCUCUGGGUCGCAACUAUGACCCAUAUACCGGGAAUGACGGGACAAUGCACUGUACCGAAUGUACGCCUACACAUGCAGGCUGGUGACACGGGGCUCAUGAUGACAGCGUCUGCGCUACGCACGACCGCACAAUAAGACUGAAUAGUGGGACCUGCCACACACUAUUGCGAAGACAUCAACAAUAGACUUGCUACAUGGACUUGUCUGACGGAAUAGCAAGCCGGUACACCCGUACCGGGAGUAGGGCUACGCAUGACCCUACGGACGACCUCAGGAACACCACGACAACCCGGGGCUACGGAUCUCUCCCUCUCUAGUAGAAAACAGUCUCCUCUAUAAGGUUCUUCCCUUGAGCUAUAAAAGGGAAGGCCCUCCUCCUCCUUCCAGACAGACGUAAAAGUUGUAGCAGUUCUCAGGCAAUACUACGAUUAGUACUACACUGGACUAGGGCGCAAGCCUGAACCAAUAUAACUCACUGUCUCACACCCCCUCUUCUGGAAUCCCCACCGAACACAAAUUCUGUAUCCACCGGUUUCUGAAAACCACGACACUAUGCAUGUAGUGUUCGUAAAUCGCUAGGUACUGAGACUGGAGGGACAAGUUGACCAUGCUUGGAAGCAGCAAUUUCUAACGAACUUCUAGGUGCGAUGUGGUUAGGGAUGAAAAUGGAUGGAACCGAUCAGAAAAACUCCUCUCCUGUUUUUAUUUUUUACAAUUUAUUUUGAAAACAGUAUCAAAAGGGAACCACCGAAAACAGGACUAGUGGGAUGGCGUAAACGAACCAAAAUGAAUGGAACAAAUCAAUAAUGAAUCGAAAUCAAACGUAAAAAAAUAGAAACAUCGUCGUAGAGAGUAUAAAAAGAAAGUAGUAAAUAAUGCUUGUUAGAUGUUGCAGUGGGUACUAUACGGAUAACAAGCACAAACAAGUGGCCCAUCCCGGCUUGGUGGUGCGUGAGCACGGUCCUUCUCCUUUGUUUUGCUCCUUGACUCCCCACACCAGUCAGCGUGGAUUUACCAAUGUGGCUCAUCCAUCUUAGUCCAUGUUCGGUUAAUCCUAUGGAUUGGAUGAGAUUCGAAAAAUUUAUGAAAGAUUUUGGCUCGUUUGGGAUUGAAAUCCAUUCAAUCUCACCUAAUCCAUAUAGAUUGAGAGCAAAACGAACAAGUCCUUGUCUGGAGCUCACGAGGCGAAGCGAACUUUUCUAGGCUCCUACUGCUCUCACGGAAAGUGCUCCAACUCUCAUCCGGUUACAGCUCCUCUCGUGAAAAGGUCUCUGAUUCCUCCACUGAAGGCUCCGCCUCAAGACGAAGCCACUCUUCUAUGUUCCGGCUUCUCUCGCGGAAAAGACUCGGAUACUCAACUUUCCUAUAGGUGUACAUUUGGGCUGUGCCUGAUGGACUGGCCCGAAGCACGAAAAAAGCACGACUCGGGCACGGAACGACCCGAAAUAUUUUAGUGUCGGACCGGCACGACCCAGUAUAUCGGGUUGGGUUUGGGCCGAGGUCGCGGCCCAUGGGCGGGCACGAGCACGACCCGUUUAAGGCAUGCACGAAAUGGCACAUAUAGAGACACAAAAAGGCCCAUAUAUUUAUUAAAACCACACUUCAUUGCACACUUUUAUGUACUUGAUAAAGAACACAAAGCUAAAGAUAAUGCUAGUUAGAUGUUGUUUGUAGCUUUGAACUAGAGUAUGUGAUGUAAUUUUACUUUUGUUAUGAACAUUAGAUAAUGAACUGAACUUACGAACUUUGUAUAGAGUUGAUUAUACCCUUUUUCCUUCUAAUAAAAUAAUUUGUAAACGAGGUAGUCAUUGCAUAGCUCUCGUAACUUAAUACAAAUAUUAAGUUUGCUUUUGGUUAAAUUUAUUUGUCAAAUCUUUUAUUUGUUUUAUUAAAUUUGUUUUGAAUUUAGGGCUCUCAUGUGAAUUCCGAGCCGUGAUGUGAAUUUCGGGCUAAAAAUUGAAUUUCGGACUUUUAUAAUUUCGGAUCGCUCGAAAUGAGCCCGUCACGUUUAAGCAAUUACAUAACAGACCGUGGGCCGAGGGCGAGGCCCAUGGGCCGGCCAGGCACGGCCCGGCAAUGACCCGAAAUUCAAACGGGACGGCCCGGCCCGAAAUUCAAACAAGACUGGCCUUUCCGGACUUUGGCUGGCGGCUCGAAUGUACACCUAUAAACUUUCCUUUUGGGAUUAUUUUAUUAGUUAGCAGAUUAGAUGCAAUCAGGAGCUAACGUGUCCACCAACAUACCAAUAGCUGGAGUCAAUUCCAGACCUGAUGUGGACUCCAGAGAGGCCGAGACUACCGAAUUUUUUAUAUUUUAGCCCUUUUUUGGAAAAAAAUUCACGUUUGGACCUUAAAAAAUUUUAAUGUCAUUUUUGAACCCUUUGCUCGGCGCCAUAGCCAAUGGCGCCGAGGUAACACAGCUCGGCGCCAUAGGCUAUGGCGCCGAGGUGCGUGUUACGCUGGCACAAACGGACGUCGUGGCACCGACGUGGCACCGACAUGGAACCGAGCUCGGCGCCAUAGAUCUUGGCGCCGAGCUCUGUUAUGUACACAAAACUUGUCUAGCUUAGUUGGUAGAGCUCAAGGCUUUUAACCUUGUGGUUGUGGGUUCAAGCCCCAUGAUAGGCAUGUUUUCAUACUUUUUUUUGUCUUUGACACUGAUUUUUUUUAUUGUCCAGAUUUUUCGUUUAUGUCGCUGAUUUGUCCGUCUAGAUUUAUUUCUUAUCCAGAUUUUUGUUUUUGUGACUGAUUUGUUUAUCCGUCCAUAUUUUUUUCGUUUAUUAAGCUUAAGGAAACAUACUUACAUUGGUUAGCGGCCACCGGUUUAGCUAUGGUGCAUCGUGGUUUUUUUCGUUUAUGCCGCUGAUUUGUCCGUCCAAAUUUAUUUCUCAUCUUGAUUUGUUUUUGCUUUUGCGACUGAUUUGUUUAUUACAUUUUGUUUAAUAGUACUGAAUAAUCCGUCUGGCCCUUGGUGCAUUGUAAACCCCACAUGCUUAAGCUUAAUUCCGUCCUCUCGCUAAUUACAAGUGAUUUUAAACAUUAAAUAAUAUACUAAAAACUGAAGUACACCAUUUAAAAUGUUAAAAAUAUUUAUAUCAUAAACAAAUGAUUGUGUUAAUCUUACAUUAGUAGUGAUGUACAAUGAUAAAUUUUAAUUAAUAUUAAAAAGUAUAAUUUCGAAUACAUUAGAUUAUUGGAGUUUUAGAGUCCAAAAUAUAAAUAUACUUAAUAAACAAAAAGAUUAUAAUUAGAGUCCAAAAUAUAAAUAUACAAGGUAUAAAUAAACAGUGACUUGAUGAUUUUAUAAAGUACUUUGUACUUCCAUAGGGUGGGUUACUUAUGUGCAUGGUACUUGCGUCACGCAGUUUGAAUAAACAAAAACAAAAACAAAAAAUAUCUAGAUGAAUACAAAAACGGUCACAAAAACAAAAAAACCAGAUGAAAAAUAAAUCUGGACGGACAAAUCAGCGACAUAAACGAAAAAUAUAGACAACAAAAAAACAAGUUAGUGAUAAAAAAAUACGUCCACGAUGGAGCUUGAACUCACAACCUCAAAGUUAAAAGUCUUGCACUCUACCGACUGAGCUAGACAUACUUUGCUGUUACAUAUCCGAGCUCGGCGCCAUAGAUCUUGGCGCCGAGCUCGGUACCACGUUGGCGCCACGUCGUUCAGGUUGAGCCAGCGUAGCACGCACCUCGGCGCCAUAGCCUAUGGCGCCGAGCUGUGUUACCUCGGCGCCAUUGGCUAUGGCGCCGAGCAAAGGGUCCAAAAAUGACAUUAAAAUUUUCUAAGGUCCAAACGUGAAUUUUUUUCCGAGGAAGGGCUAAAAUAUAAAAAAUUCGGCCGAGACUACGGGGACAAGUUGACCAAUGACGAGGCAGCAGUUUUCUAACGAUAUGUGCAACAAGCAUACAAACAAGUGGCCCAGCCCGGCCAUGUGCGCGAGAGCUACCGAUCCUUCCUUUCGCUCCUUCUGGCUCGCCACAACGUACAGGAAAAGUUUAUCCUCAGAUAGUCAGAUCCAAGAACGCUGAUUCAGAUCUGCCAAUGGUGAAUAGUAUAGUAUAGAGGUGCAGUUUUCUUCCAAAAUUAUGGGAGGACUCGCGUCGAGUUCAGCGCAGCAACCGCCAGCCAAUAAUGUUACAGCUUGUUCGCUGCGGCUUUAAUCCAGCUGCGGCUGCGUCUUCUACAGUAUUUUGUCUCUAUAGAUUGCAGCUGCAGCAGUCCGAACGGCUUUAAUCCAGCCGCAGCGAACAAGCCCUUAGGGAAUCACUGCCAAUAAUGCACUAUUGAAUAUGCGUGGUUACUACCUGAACCAUGGAUAUUGUUUUUAUUUCGAUUAAUGAUAUGCUACCUGGUGUUUGAUUCCUAACUAAAGUUUAAAUGGUGCCACAUCAAAUGUUUGAAAUCAAUUAUGAAUGUUAAAUAUAUGUUUAAUUUGGUUAGAUAAAUUUAUUUUGUCUUUUCGUCUUCAUCUGUGUGAGACACACGCCAUAAAUUACGGUUCUGUUUUUUGCGCAACAACAUAAAUAGUUCAGAAAUAGUGUAAAUAAUUAAUAGAGACAACAUAAAAACCUCGACCAGGCACACACGCAGGUGCAUGCAUGCAAAUCCAAAUUUUAUGGUAGAUCCGAUAAUUAUAGCAGAUUGUGGUAGUUUUCAUUGCAUGUGCGCAAAUUUUAGAUGUCAUUUUCGUUUCCGCUGAAUGCGCACAAAAAUUGGAUGACAUCAUAAAUAUAGCAUCGCUCCAACACACAUGCAACUAGACUCGUUAGAAUAAUUUUAUGAUAUAUACUGAUACAAAUUAUGAUAUACAAAUUUAGGAUGACAGUAAUGUGCGAUGAAAGAAAAUGAAUUGGCAUGUAUGGAAACAAAACAUCUUAUUUAAAUACUUUAUUUUCUCCAUAAAUAUAGAAUAACUCUAACAGCCAUGCAGAUAGAGUCGUUAGAACCAGUUUAUAAUAUAUACUGAUGCAAAUUAUUCUGCACGAUGAAGUUAUUUAUGUAAUGCGGUACACUACGUAAAAUGCGGUUCACUGGUGGAUGCAUCUUCAUGUUCGAGCAUAAAAACCUUCAAUUUUGAGCAUAAAAAUCCGCAGUUAUGAUCGUAAAUACCGAGCCAAUGUGAGAGAGGUUGAUAACUCUGGUGCAUUGUAUUCACAAUCCCAUUUUUAUGGUAGAUCAAAAAAUUAUGGAAGUUGCAUGCAUACGGUUUCUACUUUUAUGCAUAUCCAAAAAUUAUGGUAGAUCGUGGGAGUUUCCAUUGCAUGCGUGCAAACUUUAGAUGAUAUUUUCGUUCCACAGCACACGACGUAAAAAAAUGGAUGACACGAGUCACGCAGAACAAAAAUUCUUAUAUAAACCCUCAUAAAUACUUACAUCGUGUAGCAUAAUUCAUAACAAAUCUAAUAUCAGUCCAACUAACAACCCCAUGUGAAUUAGGGAUAGUUUUAUUGCAGACGUAAAAAUCUGUCAGUUACGAAUAUAAGUGAUUUGAUUUUAUUUUUAUGGUAAUUACAAACAUUAUAAAUCAAGGAAUUUCCUUUUCAAUGUGCAUGCAACAAAUAAGGCAUCUAAUAAACUGAUGUACGAACUCAGUGUUCGAGUAUAAAAUUCUUCAGUUUUUAGCGUAAAUAGUGCAUGUGGUAGGCAUAAAACACAAUAACCGAAGGCAUAACAUGGAUUGGAUGAGGUAGUCAUGGAGGACGUCGUCUAGGACACAAGAUCGGAGUGAGGUCGUCAAUUGGGGCGCCUGAACUGUGCCGGAUCGAAGGAUGUCACGUGCGACCGUCGCCGCGCACACCUCGCGUCUUCCGUGGACGUCACUCGAUCCUCGCCCCUCGUGUGGCAUUGUCACUGCUCGCACGUCGGGGGGUGCCACCGUUGUUCGUGGGUUAUGGUGUGUCGCCGCCACGGGGCCUGGGGUGCGACGCCAUCGCUCGCCCGCCUCGGGAGCAUUGUCGUCGCUUGCCCACCCGCCUCGAGAGUGCCACAACCAAUCGCCCACCUUGGGGCCCUAGGAUCGCCACCGCUCACCCGCCCCCGGGGCCCCAACGUAGCUCGCCCUCCGGAUCGGGGAACCAUCGCCACCUGAUAGUCGCCUAGAGGGGGGUGAAUAGGGCGAAACUGAAAUUUACAAAUAGUGACACAACUACAAGCCGGGUUAGCGUUAGAAAUAUAAACGAGUCCGCGAGAGAGGGCGCAAAACAAAUCGCAAGCAAAUGAAGAGUGUGACACGUGGAUUUGUUUUACCGAGGUUCGGUUCUCGCGAACCUACUCCCCGUUGAGGAGGCCACAAAGGCCGGGUCUCUUUCAACCCUUCCCUCUCUCAAACCAUCCCACGGACCGAGUGAGCUUUCUCUUCUCAAUCACUUGGAACACAAAGUUCCAACAAGGACCACCACAAGUUUGGUGUCUCUUGCCUCAAUUACAAGUGAGUUUGAUCGCAAUGAAAGAAUCAAGAAAGAAGAAAGCAAUCCAAGCGCAAGAGCUCGAAAGAACACAAGCAAAUCACUCUCUCUAGUCACUAUGGCAUUGUGUGGAAUUUGGAGAGGAUUUGAUCUCUUUGGUGUGUCUAGAAUUGAAUGCUAGAGCUCUUGUAGUAGCUGGGAAGUGGAAAACUUGGAUACCAUGAAUGGUGGGGUGGUUGGGGUAUUUAUAGCCUCAACCACCAACUUGACCGUUGGUGGAGACUGUCUGCUCGAUGGCGCACCGGACAGUCCGGUGCACACCGGACAUGUCCGGUGCCCCUGCCACGUCAUCACUGCCGUUGGAUUCUGACCGUUGAAGCUUCUGACUCGUGGGCCCGCCUGGAUGUCCGGUGCACACCGGACAUGCACUGUUCCUUGUCCGGUGCGCCAGUAUGGGCGCGCCUGACCUCUGUGCGCGCUGUGCGCGCAUUUAAUGCGCCGCAGGUAGCCGUUGGCGCCGAAUAGCCGUUGCUCCGGAGUUGCACCGGACAGUCCGGUGCACACCGGACAUGUCCGGUGAAUUAUAGCGGACGAGCCGUUGGAGAUUCCCGAAGCCGGCGAGUUCCUGAGGCCGCUCCUCCUUGGCGCACCGGACACUGUCCGGUGUACACCGGACAGUCCGGUGAAUUAUAGCGCGAGUGCCUCUGGAAAUUCCCGAAGGUAGCAAGUUCGCGUUGGAGUCCUCUGGUGCACCGGACAUGUCCGGUGGUGCACCGGACACUGUCCGGUGGCACACCGGACAAUCCGGUGCGCCAGACCAGAGGUGCCUUCGGUUGGCCCUUUGCUCUUUUGUUGAACCCAACUUUUGGUCUUUUUAUUGGCUAAGUGUGAACAUUUAGCACCCGUAUAACUUAUACACUAGAGCAAACUAGUUAGUCCAAUUGUUUGUGUUGGGCAAUUCAACCACCAAAAUUAUUUAGGAACUAGGUGUAAGCCUAAUUCCCUUUCAAUCUCCCCCUUUUUGGUGAUUGAUGCCAACACAAACCAAAGCAAAUAUGGAAGUACAUAAUUGAACUAGUUUGCAUAAUGUAAGUGCAAAGGUUGCUUGGAAUUGAGCCAAUAUAAAUACUUACAAGAUAUGCAUGGAUUGUUUCUUUCUUAUAUAACAUUUUGGACCACGCUUGCACCACAUGUUUUGUUUUUGCAAAUUCUUUUGUAAAUCUUUUUCAAAGUUCUUUUGCAAAUAGUCAAAGGUAAAUGAAUAAGAUUUUGCAAAGCAUUUCCAAGAUUUGAAAUUUGCUCCCCCUGAUUCAAAUACUUCUCCUUUGACUAAACAAAACUCCCCCUAAAUGAGAUCCUCCUCUUAGUGUUCAAGAGGGUUUUGAUAUAUCAUUUUUGAAAUACUACUUUCUCCCUCUUUUGAACACAAUAGGAUACAAUUGAUAAAAUUCUUUGAAAACACGAAGUUUUUGAAAUUGGUGGGGUGGUGCGGUCCUUUUGCUUUGGGCUCUUACUUUCUCCCCCUUUGGCAUGAUCGCCAAAAACGGAGUCAUUAGAGCCCUCGUUUCAAAUGCUUCUCCUUUGGUCAUAAAUAAAUGAGUUAAGAUUAUACCAAAGACGAAGUCCUUUUGCUUGGUGCUCAUGCUUUCUCCCCCAAGAAUGGAGAGUGACUUGGAGUGACGGCGAAGGAUGAGUUACGGAGUGAAAGCCUUUGUCUCCGCCGAAGACUCCAAUUCCCUUUCAAUACACCUAUGACUUGGUUUGAAAUAGACUUGAGAACACAUUAGUCAUAGCAUAUGAAAGAGAUAUGAUCAAAGGUAUGUAAAUGAGCUUAUGUGUGCAAUCUAGCAAAAGAAAUUGCGUGAAUCAAGAAUAUUGAGCUCAUGCCUAAGUUUGGUAAAAGUUUGUUCAUCAAGAGGCUUGGUAAAGAUAUCGGCUAAUUGAUCUUUAGUGUUAAUAUAUGAAAUCUCGAUAUCUCCCUUUUGUUGGUGAUCCCUAAGAAAAUGAUACCGAAUGGCUAUGUGCUUAGUGCGGCUAUGUUCGACGGGAUUGUCGGCCAUUUUGAUUGCACUCUCAUUAUCACAUAGCAAAGGGACUUUGGUUAGUUUGUAACCAUAGUCCCGCAGGGUUUGCCUCAUCCACAGCAAUUGCGCGCAACAAUGGCCUGCGGCAAUGUACUCGGCUUCGGCGGUGGAAAGAGCGACCGAAUUUUGCUUCUUUGAAGCCCAAGACACCAAGGAUCUUCCCAAGAACUGGCAAGUCCCUGACGUGCUCUUCCUAUUGAUUUUGCACCCCGCCCAAUCGGCAUCCGAAUAACCAAUCAAAUCAAAAGUGGAUCCCCUAGGAUACCAAAGCCCAAACUUAGGAGUAUAAGCUAAAUAUCUCAAGAUUCGUUUUACGGCCGUAAGGUGGGAUUCCUUAGGGUCGGAUUGGAAUCUUGCACACAUGCAAACGGAAAACAUAAUGUCUGGUCGAGAUGCACAUAGAUAGAGUAAUGAACCAAUCAUCGACCGGUAUUACCUUUUGAUCCACGGACUUACCUCCCGUGUCGAGGUCGAGAUGCCCAUUGGUUCCCAUGGGUGUCUUGAUGGGCUUGGCAUCCUUCAUUCCAAACUUGCUUAGAAUAUCUUGAGUGUACUUGGUUUGGCUAAUGAAGGUGCCCUCUUGGAGUUGCUUUACUUGAAAUCCUAAGAAAUACUUCAACUCCCCCAUCAUAGACAUCUCGAACUUUUGUGUCAUGAUCCUACUAAAUUCUUCACAUGUAGACUCGUUAGUAGACCCAAAUAUAAUAUCAUCAACAUAAAUUUGGCAUACAAACAAGUCAUUUUCAAGAGUUUUAGUGAAUAGAGUAGGAUCGGCCUUUCCGACUUUGAAGCCAUUAGCAAUAAGGAAAUCCCUAAGGCAUUCAUACCACGCUCUUGGGGCUUGCUUGAGCCCAUAAAGCGCCUUAGAGAGCUUAUAGACAUGGUUAGGGUACUCACUGUCUUCAAAGCCGGGAGGUUGCUCAACAUAGACCUCUUCCUUGAUUGGUCCAUUGAGGAAAGGCACUUUUCACGUCCAUUUGAUAAAGCUUAAAGCCAUGGUAAGUAGCAUAGGCCAAUAAUAUGCGAAUUGACUCAAGCCUAGCUACGGGUGCAUAGGUUUCACCGAAAUCUAAACCUUCGACAUGGGAGUAUCCCUUGGCCACAAGUCGAGCUUUGUUCCUUGUCACCACACCAUGCUCAUCUUGCUUGUUGCGGAAGACCCAUUUGGUUCCUACAACAUUUUGAUUAGGACGUGGAACUAAAUGCCAUACCUCAUUCCUAGUGAAGUUGUUGAGCUCCUCUUGCAUUGCCACCACCCAAUCCGAAUCUUGUAGUGCUUCCUCUACCUUGUGUGGCUCAAUAGAGGAAACAAACGAGUAAUGUUCACAAAAAUGUGCAACACGAGAUCUAGUGGUUACCCCCUUAUGAAUGUCGCCGAGGAUGGUGUCGACGGGGUGAUCUCGUUGGAUUGCUUGGUGGACUCUUGGGUGUGGCGGCCUUGGUUCUUGCUCAUCCUCCUUUUCUUGAUCGUUUGCAUCUCCCCCUUGAUUAUUGUCGUCAUCUUGAGGUGGCUCAUUUGCUUGAUCUUCUACUUCAUCAACUUGAGCCUCAUCUUCAUUUUGAGUUGGUGGAGAUGCUUGCAUGGAGGAGGAUGGUUGAUCUUGUGCAUUUGGAGGCUCUUCGGAUUCCUUAGGACACACAUCCCCAAUGGACAUGAUCCUUAGCGCAAUGCACGGAGCCUCUUCAUCACCUAUCUCAUCAAGAUCAACUUGCUCUACUUGAGAGCCGUUAGUCUCAUCAAACACAACGUCACAAGAAACUUCAACUUGUCCACUGGACUUGUUAAAGACUCUAUAUGCCCUUGUGUUUGAAUCAUAUCCUAGUAAAAAGCCUUCUACAGUCUUAGGAGCAAAUUUAGAUUUUCUACCUCUUUUAACAAGAAUGAAGCAUUUGCUACCAAAGACUCUAAAAUAUGAAAUGUUGGGCUUUUUACCGGUUAGGAGUUCAUAGGAUGUCUUCUUGAGGAUUCGAUGUAGAUAUAACCGGUUGAUGGCGUAGCAGGCGGUGUUGACCGCCUCGGCCCAAAACCGAUCCGAAGUCUUGUACUCAUCAAGCAUGGUCCUUGCCAUGUCCAAUAGAGUUCGAUUCUUCCUCUCCACUACACCAUUUUGUUGUGGCGUGUAGGGAGAAGAGAACUCAUGCUUGAUGCCCUCCUCCUCAAGAAAGCCUUCGAUUUGAGAGUUCUUGAACUCCGUCCCGUUGUCGCUUCUUAUUUUCUUGAUCCUUAAGCCGAACUCAUUUUGAGCCCGUCUCAAGAAUCCCUUUAAGGUCUCUUGGGUUUGAGAUUUUUCCUGUAAAAAGAAUACCCAAGUGAAGCGAGAAUAAUCAUCCACUAUUACAAGACAAUACUUACUCCCGCCGAUGCUUAUGUAAGCAAUCGGGCCGAAUAGAUCCAUGUGUAGUAGCUCAAGCGGCCUGUCGGUCGUUAUGAUGUUCUUGUGUGGAUGAUGGGCUCCAACUUGCUUUCCUGCCUGACAUGCGCUACAAAUCCUGUCUUUCUCAAAAUGAACAUUUGUUAGUCCUAAAAUGUGUUCUCCCUUUAGAAGCUUGUGAAGAUUCUUCAUUCCAACAUGUGCUAGUCGGCGAUGCCAGAGCCAGCCCAUGUUAGUCUUAGCAAUUAAGCAUGUGUCGAGUUCAGCUCUAUCAAAAUCUACUAAAUAUAGCUGACCCUCUAACACACCCUUAAAUGCUAUUGAAUCAUCACUUCUUCUAAAGACAGUGACACCUACAUCAGUAAAGAGACAGUUGUAGCCCAUUUGACAUAAUUGAGAUACAGAAAGCAAAUUGUAAUCUAAAGAAUCUACAAGAAAAACAUUGGAAAUAGAAUGGUUAGGAGAUAUAGCUAUUUUACCAAGACCUUUGACCAAACCUUGAUUUCCAUCCCCGAAUGUGAUAGCUCGUUGGGGAUCUUGGUUUUUCUCAUAGGAGGAGAACAUUUUCUUCUCCCCUGUCAUGUGGUUUGUGCACCCGCUGUCGAUGAUCCAACUUGAGCCCCCGGAUGCAUAAACCUACAAAACAAGUUUAGUUCUUGACUUUAGGUACCCAAAUGGUUUUGGGUCCUUUGGCAUUAGACACAAGAACUUUGGGUACCCAAACACAAGUCUUUGACCCCUUGUGCUUGCCCCCAACAUAUUUGGCAACUACCUUGCCGGAUUUGUUAGUCAAAACAUAAGAAGCAUCAAAGGUUUUAAAUGAGAGACUAUGUUCAUUUGAUGCAUUAGGAAUUUUCUUCUUAGGCAACUUAGCACGGGUUGGUUGCCUAGAGCUAGAUGUGUCACCCUUAUACAUAAAAGCAUGAUUAGGGCCAGAGUGAGACUUCCUAGAGUGAAUUCUCCUAAUUUUGUCCUCGGGAUAACCGGCAGGGUAUAAAAUGUAACCCUCGUUAUCCUGAGGCAUGGGAGCCUUGCCCUUAACAAAAUUGGACAAUCUUUUAGGAGGGGCACUAAGUUUGACAUUGUUUCCCUUUUGGAAGCCAAUGCCAUCCUUGAUGCCCGGGCGUCUCCCAUUAUAGAGCAUACUUCUAGCAUAUUUAAAUUUUUCACUUUCUAAGUUAUGCUCGGCAAUUUUAGCAUCUAAUAUUGCUAUAUGAUCAUUUUGUUGUUUAAUUAAAGCCAUAUGAUCAUGAAUAGCAUUGAUAUCAACAUCUCUACAUCUAGUGCAAAUAGUGACAUGCUCAAUGGUAGAUGUAGAUGGUUUGCAAGAAUUAAGUUCAACAAUCUUAGCAUGUAGAAUAUCAUUUUUAUCUCUAAGAUCGGAAAUUGUAACUUUGCAAACAUCAAAAUCUUUAGCCUUAGCAAGCAAUUUUUCAUUCUCAAUUCUAAGGCUAGCAAGAGAAAUGUUCAAUUCUUCAAUCCUAGCAAGCAAAUCAUCAUUAUCAUCUCUAGGGUUGGAAAUUGAAACAUUGCAAACAUGAGAAUCAACCUUAGCUAACAAAUUAGCAUUUUCAUUUCUAACGUUGUCUAUUGUUUCAUGGCAAGUGCUUACCUCACUGGAUAAUUUUUGACAUUUCUCAAUUUCUAGAGCAUAAGCAUUUUUAACCUUAACAUGCUUCUUAUUUUCUUUAAUAAGGAAGUCCUCUUGGGUGUCCAAGAGAUCAUCCUUUUCAUGGAUGGCACUAAUCAAUUCAUUAAGUUUUUCUUUUUGUUGCAUGUUGAGGUUGGCAAAAAGGGUACGCAAAUUAUCUUCCUCAUCACUAGCAUUAUCAUCACUAGAGGAUUCAUAUUUAGUGGAGGAUUUAGAUUUGACCUUCUUUUUGCCGUCCUUUGCCAUGAGGCACUUGUGGCCGAUGUUGGGGAAGAGGAGUCCCUUGGUGACGGCGAUGUUGGCGGCGUCCUCGUCGUCGGAGGAGUCGCUAGAGCUUUCGUCGGAAUCCCACUCCCGACAAACAUGAGCAUCGCCGCCCCUCUUCUUGUAGUACUUCUUCUUUUCUCUCCUCUUUCCCUUCUUGUCGUUAUCCCUGUCACUGUCACUUGAUAAUGGACAUUUAGCAAUAAAGUGACCGGGCUUACCACACUUGUAGCAAACCUUCUUGGAGCGGGACUUGUAGUCUUUCCCUCUCCUUUGCUUGAGGAUUUGGCGGAAGCUUUUGAUGACGAGCGUCAUUUCCUCAUUGUCGAGCUUGGAGGCGUCUAUUGGUUGUCGACUUGAUGUAGACUCCUCCUUCUUUUCCUCCGUCGCCUUGAAUGCGACGGGUUGAGCCUCGGAUGUGGAGGGAUCAUCAAGCUCGUUGAUCUUCCUCGAGCCUUCGAUCAUGCACUCAAAACUUACAAAAUUCCCGAUAACUUCCUCGGGGGUCAUUUUAGUAUAUCUAGGAUUACCACGAAUUAAUUGAACUUGAGUGGGGUUAAGGAAAAUGAGAGAUCUUAGAAUAACCUUAACCAUUUCGUGGUCGUCCCACUUCUUGCUCCCGAGGUUGUGCACUUGGUUCACCAAGGUCUUGAGCCGGUUGUACAUGUGUUGUGGCUCUUCCCCUUUGCGAAGCCGGAACCGACCGAGCUCCCCCUCGAUCGUUUCCCGCUUGGUGAUCUUUGUGAGCUCAUCUCCCUCGUGCGCGGUUUUGAGCACAUCCCAAACCUCCUUGGCGCUUUUCAACCCUUGAACUUUGUUAUACUCCUCUCUACUUAGAGAGGCGAGGAGUAUUGUUGUUGCUUGAGAGUUGAAGUGCUCGAUUUGGGCCACCUCAUCCUCAUCAUAGUCUUUAUCCCCUACGGAUGGUACCUGUGCACCAAACUCAACAACAUCCCAUAUACUUUUGUGGAGUGAGGUUAGAUGAAAUCGCAUUAAAUCACUCCACCUAGCAUAAUCUUCACCAUCAAAAGUUGGUGGUUUGCCUAAUGGGACGGAAAGUAAAGGUGCAUGUUUAGAAAUGCGAGGGUAGUGUAGGGGGAUCUUACUAAACUUCUUACGCUCUUGGCGUUUAGAAGUGACGGAUGCCGCGUCGGAGCCGGAGGUGGAUGGCGAUGAAGAAUCGGUCUCGUAGUAGACCACUUUCCUCAUCCUCUUGUGCUUGUCCCCACUCCGAUGCGGCUUGUGAGAAGAAGAUUUCUCCUUCUUCUCUUUGUGGUGAGAAGAAGAUUUCCACUCCUUCCCUUUGUUGGAGGAGCUCUUCUUCUUCUCCUUCCUCUUGGUGCGGGACUCUUCCGAUGAAGUGCUCCCGUGGCUUGUAGUGGGCUUUUCGCCGGUCUCCAUCUCCUUCUUGGCGUGAUCUCCCGACAUCACUUCGAGCGAUUAGGCUCUAAUGAAGCACCGGACUCUGAUACCAAUUGAUAGUCGCCUAGAGGGGGGGGUGAAUAGGGCGAAACUGAAAUUUACAAAUAGUGACACAACUACAAGCCGGGUUAGCGUUAGAAAUAUAAACGAGUCCGCGAGAGAGGGCGCAAAACAAAUCGCAAGCAAAUGAAGAGUGUGACACGCGGAUUUGUUUUACCAAGGUUCGGUUCUCGCGAACCUACUCCCCGUUGAGGAGGCCACAAAGGCCGGGUCUCUUUCAACCCUUCCCUCUCUCAAACGAUCCCACAGACCGAGUGAGCUUUCUCUUCUCAAUCACUUGGAACACAAAGUUCCAACAAGGACCACCACAAGUUUGGUGUCUCUUGCCUCAAUUACAAGUGAGUUUGAUCGCAAUGAAAGAAUCAAGAAAGAAGAAAGCAAUCCAAGCGCAAGAGCUCGAAAGAACACAAGCAAAUCACUCUCUCUAGUCACUAUGGCAUUGUGUGGAAUUUGGAGAGGAUUUGAUCUCUUUGGUGUGUCUAGAAUUGAAUGCUAGAGCUCUUGUAGUAGCUGGGAAGUGGAAAACUUGGAUACCAUGAAUGGUGGGGUGGUUGGGGUAUUUAUAGCCUCAACCACCAACUUGACCGUUGGUGGAGACUGUCUGCUCGAUGGCGCACCGGACAGUCCGGUGCACACCGGACAUGUCCGGUGCCCCUGCCACGUCAUCACUGCCGUUGGAUUCUGACCGUUGAAGCUUCUGACUCGUGGGCCCGCCUGGAUGUCCGGUGCACACCGGACAUGCACUGUUCCUUGUCCGGUGCGCCAGUAUGGGCGCGCCUGACCUCUGUGCGCGCUGUGCGCGCAUUUAAUGCGUCGCAGGUAGCCGUUGGCGCCGAAUAGCCGUUGCUCCGGAGUUGCACCGGACAGUCCGGUGCACACCGGACAUGUCCGGUGAAUUAUAGCGGACGAGUCGUUGGAGAUUCCCGAAGCCGGCGAGUUCCUGAGGCCGCUCCUCCUUGGCGCACCGGACACUGUCCGGUGUACACCGGACAGUCCGGUGAAUUAUAGCGCGAGUGCCUCUGGAAAUUCCCGAAGGUAGCAAGUUCGCGUUGGAGUCCUCUGGUGCACCGGACAGUCCGGUGCGCCAGACCAGAGGUGCCUUCGGUUGGCCCUUUGCUCUUUUGUUGAACCCAACUUUUGGUCUUUUUAUUGGCUAAGUGUGAACCUUUAGCACCUGUAUAACUUAUACACUAGAGCAAACUAGUUAGUCCAAUUGUUUGUGUUGGGCAAUUCAACCACCAAAAUUAUUUAGUAACUAGGUGUAAGCCUAAUUCCCUUUCACCACCGAGCCACUGAAUCUGGGAAUCAUCGUCGAGACUCUGGAUCGAGGAACCACCAUCGUUGCCACCGCAAUCGCAGCCCCGGGGGUCCACCAUCGCCGCGCGCUCUCGGCCAACCGCCGCUGUCGCACGGGCCUGGGUUGUCAUCAUCGCUCGUGCAUCGGGGUGGUGCGUCAAUAACUGAGCCAUAGUGUUCUGGUACUUGUUUUAUAGACGUCCGGACCCGGUCUGGCUCAACCGGAUGACACGUCUGGCCUGGGCUUCUCUAGUUGGAAGCCCAGGGGUUUAGAUAUAUAAACUAUAUAUAUAUAUAUAUAUAUAUAUAUAUAUAUAUAUAUAUAUAUAUAUAUAUAUAUAUAUAUAUGUCUUUUCCUCCCACUUCUUCCCCUGUGCAGCACAAGGCAUCGGGCUAAGGAUACAGAUGGAUGAUUUUAUUGUACUUCUCAUGUAACCAAAUAGAAAAUGCAUAUGCUAGCUGAUCAUAUAUUUUGUAACCCUCUCCUUGGCUUAUAUAAUAUAAGGGUAGGAGACCCUUGAUCAGUAUCUACACAAUGAUUAUAGGCAUAUCUACAAUGGAGGACACCGGCCCAGGUAGUUUGAAAUUGUGAAGAAAUAUUUGAUUAUUUAGUUAUCAAGAGCUAUUAUUAGGUAUUUUCUAUAAUUAAUUAUAUAUUGUUUAAUUAAGCACUUUGAAUUGAGCAUUGUUUGUUAGAUCUAUAAGUAUUUGGUAAGUAUGAAUUUUAACCUUAUAGGUCUAAUUUGGAAACUCCAGAGAUCUCAAGACUUUUUCCUAGGUAGGUAAUCCAUAGGAAUAUUAUUUUAGUUAUCUUCUUAGUUGCUUAUAUGGGUUCUUUUAUCCCUGUGUUUAGCACCUCUUGCUUUACUGGCUUCCCAAGAAAGUCCUAUUCUUUUGCCCCUCGGUCGUUUCUAGAUCCGCUAAUGGUAAUUAACAAAGCUAAGAAGCUCUUCGUAAUAAUAUUGUGAAAAAAAUAUAGCUGAUGUCUUUAGAUCACAAGGCGGUCAUAUUAUUAUUCAUCAUAUAAGAUAUAGUACAUAAAAAGCUCAGCGUUAGGAAUGAAAAGUGGUAGAAAAUGAUAUUGCUUAUUACAUUCACAUUGGGCGAUUGAUCCGGUAUAUAUAUGUAGAUGCAGAAAACAGAUAUAUAGUACUCGACGCAUUCACAUUGCUCGGGUGCAUAUCGGUAGGUACGUAGUAGUAUAGUAUAGUAUAUAUAUUUAUGAUGAUGCAGGAGUCGGCGGGCCGGUAGAAUUGCCGUAGCCCUAGUUUUUCACUUUUUCCAUGUGAGGAACUCUCCUGAGACAAAGUCGUAGUGGGCGCCGAUCAGCUUGAGGGUCCCAUUUGCAAGCCCUUCCUUGACGAAGGGGUAGGUCUUGAGGUUCUCCAGGGACACGUUCACGGCCUCCUGCAGAAACAAUAGAGGUCCUUUUGGUGAGCAAAAACCAAUCUAUUCAUGCAACAGUAACUGCUCGACGAAUGUACAACAUACCUUCUCGAGAAUGGAGCACUGGUCAUCGAACGGCACCGAGGCGUGCUCUUUCUUUACCUUCAUCUUGGCAAUGAAGCCGAUCUUAACCCAGUCCUCGACGAAGUGGCUGCGUACGUACACCACACCAAACCAACACACAACAUGGUAUAGAGAGGAUCAAAAUCAUGCAUGACAUAAAUAAGCGCAAAUAGUUUUUUAUAUCUAAAUGAAACUUGUAUAUAUUUUACUGUCGCGACUUACAAGGUGUCAGGUGCGCCGUCCUGGAGGGAGAGGAGCGCCCUGAUGCCACCGCAGCAGCUAUGGCCAAUGACCACGAGGACCUCCACCUUGAGAGCGCACACAGCGUACUCGAUGGCGGACCCGAUGCCGGUGUACUUGGUCUGCAGUCGACACGAAAACGAGAGGCCGCGGCCGGCCGUGUGAGUAGAAAUUGAGACCAUUGCGUUGUUCACAAUCGUCAGUGUGUAUAUAUACCUUGUCGUAGCCUGGGACCAUGGCGGCUAUGUUGCGAACGGUGAAGGCCUCGCCGGGCUGCAGGCCCAGGGUCACCGAUGGGCACACACGGGAGUCGGAGCAAGCGAACACCAUGUACUGCAUGCAGCAUAGCAAAAUCACUGUCAUGUCAGGUCAGGCAAAAAGAAGGAGCACAAAAAAUCAGGCCGGUUCCCGCGGUUGUUAGCUAUGCAGCGACAAUGCCAUCCCCACAGGUCAUCCAAUUAGUAUAUAUAUAUAUCAUGGCUGAGCUCCUUGAUCUAUAUGGCGCCGAUACGUGUUAUGUCGGUAGCGUAGACUACGCCGAUAUACUAGGUCUAAUGUCGACUUUCACAAGGAUACAUAUAAUUUUUUUUUUCAAAAGAAGUUUUAAAAUAUGGUAAUUUUUAUGGAUAACAAAACUAGUAGAACCCGCUAAAAGCAUGAACGCAUGCAUGAAAUAAUCAUGCGCAUGGGAUAGAUGCCAACUCAGAACACCCAUAAAGAAAAACAAUAAACUCUGUACUUGGUUACUUGCAAUAUUCUGGCACGCCAGGUUCUAUAUACUAGGAAGUGAGCCUAUAUAGGGACGGCGGCAUCUCAAUAAUUUACCAAGCAAAUGCAAGUCUCGCCAGCUUAGCAUAUAUGGCAGCACAUGGGUUAGCAAUUAGCACGCGCGCGGGGCGCAUGCAUUUGGUUCAGAAGAAUAAGAAUGGAGUAUAGGCUAGUAGGCAAUAGCGCAUACCUUGGGGGCCUGGCCGGACUUGAGAGGCCCGAAAAGCUCCGGCUUCUUGCUGUGAAAUGAAGAAAAAAAAAUCAAACGUACUAGCACAGGAAUAAUAUAGGAUCAGUCGAAGCUAUAUCAGAAUUCCCGAUACAAAUGAAACGUUUGAAACUGAAACGGCUAAACCAAACGCCGGUGCUGCAGAAAACAACAGCCAGCUCUGAGUAGUAGAGGGGUGACUUACUCAUAGACAUUGACCUUGAACUGCUGGAACCCGCUCGUCAAGCGCUCGAUGGCGUCCUGGGGCUGCAGGACCAGCAACAAGAAAAUCGUCGGUCAGUUCGCCAUGCCCGGAAAGACUAACUUGCAUGCUCGUGAUGGUACGGUGAUAGAUGCAGCAUGAGGGGGGUAUAGAGAGAGCGAGAGAAUGAAGGGGGCGUGAUGCAACUUUUGGCCACACUGGACCGGGUGGGUGGGCUUCUGGUUCUCAAGGAGUGACGAGGUGCGUGGGAAUCUAUGGGAGGGCAAAGGCGCUGCUCUGCUCUUUUCUUCGUCUCCUGAUAUCCUCCCAUGCAUGUCAACAAGCUAAGGGGAGAGAAAGAAAUUGCGAUGGCAAACAAGGGAGAUAAAUUAAAGGGGGCUGGCCGGAUGAUGUUGGGAAUUGGGAUCUGGAGUGCGCUAGCUAUGUGCAAAUGCAAGACGACGGACGUGAUGUCGUCAAUAUAGCAAUUGAAAAAAAAAGGUAAGAGCAACUCCAAGAGCUUAUGUAAAACAAAUUGACUAGCUAAAAAUAAUAAAAUUGGAGUAAAAAUUGGAUCCAACAGUCUCUUCAAAUCCUUCUCUCGCUAUCCAACUCGGUAAACAACCCCCUCCGCUAGCCAAAUAUGACUAAUUCCCUACGCUAGCUAUCCGGUCCUCCCAUAGCCUUUGUCCUCAGCCGGAGUGGAGGCAGGACGGUGUAGCAUAGGCGCGUGGGACAUAGGGAAGAAGGCAAGGUGAGAAUGACAUGUGGGACCUACCAGUCUAAUUUGGCUAGUCUGUUGGAAUUAAUCGUAAUUUAGAGAGUGAAUUAUAGCUAAACGGCUAGCUAAAUGAGAAUAUAGAAUAAAAAAUUUGGCUAAUCUAUUGGAGUUGCUCUAAAAGAAGAGCUGUGCGCGUGGACCCCUACAGGCUCCCAUGUGACGAACUGCCCUUUGACGAAGUCGUAGUGGGCGCCAACCAGCUUGAGCGUCCCGCCGGCCAGCCCUUCCUUGACGAAGGGGUAGCUCUUGAGGUUCUGGAGCGACACGUUCACGGCCUCCUGCAGAAACACACACACACAAUUAAAGGUCGAUGAUGAUCCUUGAAUUUGUUCGUUGAUGAGCGAAACCAAUAAUAUAUAAUCCAUUAUUCAUACGGUCGGUGUGUGUGCGUGCGUUUACGUUACGUACCUUCUCCAGGAUGGAGCACUGGUCAUCGAACGGCACCGAUGCGUGCUCUUUCUUCACCUUGUUCUUGGCAGGGCUGCCGAUCCUGACCCAGUCCUCCACGAAGUGGCUGGAUAUACAUGGCCAGAUUUAAACCAACGACAGACAACACGCUGAGCAGGUUACACUACACGGGGUUCUAAUUUUUUUCUCUCUCUCUAAAUAAAACUGCUAUAUAUAUUUUUUAUACGCAUUUUACGAUGACUACUGCUUACAAG
Molecule: long non-coding RNA, 40303 nt
Filed under: Zea mays
Lineage: Eukaryota; Viridiplantae; Streptophyta; Magnoliopsida; Poales; Poaceae
Description: long non-coding RNA (ZMAY_LNC002062)
Rfam family: tRNA (bases 22929-23001)
Source: RNAcentral